UAAUCUAUUUCUUGCUAGUAGGUUGUAAUUAUCAAAUUCUUAUAUGUUUGAUUGGUAAUAGCUAUUAAUUAUCGAAAUCUUAUCUAGUUUGGCAUUUCAAUUUGCACAGGUACUCAAAAUAAAUGUAUAUGGGAUGCUGGACAUGUGGGAGUGGAAGACCUUUUGGAGUUUUGGUAGAUGCUAGCAGCAUGUGAUGGAUGGAUGAUUGAUCAUCAACAAUUGAACAUUGAUGCCGCAGCUGCAACUUAUGCUUAAUUUCCUAUCUCUCUAUGAAUUGUGGUCUCUGCCCUUUAAUGUAAUGCGAACCUUGGAAUAUUAUGCUGCAUGAAUUUUCGACUGUUAAGCUACCUACAAUGUGAUAAUGGACUUUUAUGUGGAUUUUUAAGUACUUCUGGUUUCUGUACAUGUUUUUGUCACAAGUGUGAAUAUUGUGGUCAUGCUGCCUUGCUGUUGUGACAAGGAAAUUGCAUCUGUUUGGUGAUGUAUAUGUUUAAUAUAUACAUACUAAUUUUUAUCAUAAUGUAGGUUUUAUGGGCAUUUAUUUAACGAGCUUAACAAGCUAAACGAGCCAGCUCGCGAGUUAUACGAGUCAAGCCAAUCUUGGAUUUGAACUCGUUAUAGUAACGAGUCGAGUCGAGCUAGCUCGUUAACAAAACGAGCUUUAGCGAGUCGAGUCGAGCUGGCUCGACUCGGCUCGAAUUCCAGCCCUAACGGACGUGAUGCCUAUAUACAUGAUCAUGCCUAGAUAAUCUCAUAAUUAUUCGAUUUUCUAUAAAUUGAUCGACAUUAAUUUGUUCACCCACCGUAAUACUUAUGCUAUCUUGAGAGAAGCCACUAGUGAAACCUAUGGCCCCCGGGUCUAUCUUUUAUCAUAUAAGCUUUCAAUCUACUUUUAUUUGCAAUUUUACUUUUUGCAUCUAUAUUAUGAAUACCAAAAAUAUAUUUAUCUUAUCAUACUAUCUCUAUCAGAUCUCACUUUCGCAAGUGGCCGUGAAGGGAUUGACAACCCCUUUAUUGUGUUUAUUGCGAGUUCUUUGUUUGUUUGUGUAGGUGCAUGGGACUUUUGAGGAGCCUCCUACUGGAUUGAUACCUUGGUUCUCAAAAACUGAUGGAAAUACUUACGCUACUAUUGCUGCAUCACCCUUUCCUCUUUAAGGAAAACCAACGCAAGCUCAAGACGUAGCGAGAAGGAUUUCUGGCGCCAUUUCUGGGGAGGUCUUUGCUCAAGUCAAGACAUACCAAGUACCCAUCACAAACUCAUAUCCCUCGCAUUAUUUACAUUAUUUGCCAUUUGCCUCUCGUUUUCCUCUCCCCCACUUCACCCUUGCCGUUUUAUUUGCCCUCUCUUUCCCAAUCUCUCCCUCUUUUUCGCUUGCCUUUUUCUGUUUGCUCGUGUGUUAGAUCGUUUACCUUGUCGCUAUGGCUAGUCCUCCUAUCCUUGUUAUCACUCCCGUAUAUGAAAUUCUUAAUUUUAAGCAAAGGGAGGGAGAAAAUUUAAAAGAUGCUUGGCAUAGAAUUUGCAAUGCUCAAAAUAGAUCUACUAGGAAGCUUUCUACUUCCGUUCUUCUUCGCAAUUUUUAUGUAGGCAUUACUCCUUGGAAUGGAUGCGUUCUUGAUACCGUUACCGGAGGGGAUUUCUUGAGUAGCCAUACGUUUGAUGCUUAUAAUGCUAUGUUAGAUUUGUUUGGCCCACCACCUCUUUUGGUUAAUGGAACAGUUUUAACUUUAGAACAUGUGAUGCAACGACUUGAUAUUAUUGAAAAUAAAGUUGCUACUGUUGAGUGGAUUGAAAAUUUGGAUAAAGAGAUUCAUAAUCACAUUACCCAAUAUGGAUCUAGGGUUGUAGUUACUUUGAAAAAUCUUAAAGAGAAAGAACCUAUAGUUAAUGAAAAAAUAGAUCUAGAUUCUGCAAGAAUCGGUAAACCUGAAGAUAUCAUUACCAACUUAGGUUCCGCGUUUUCUUCCAUGAAAAACACUCCAAAACCUCCUACCAAAACUGCCAAGUUUAUUUAUGUUCCUAAAAAUAAGGGUGAAUCUUCUAGUAAGGGAGACGCGGAUCUCAAAUUCAUAAGUGUUCAUCCCAAUUGUCUCUCUAUCGUUAAGGAACAUUUUGCUACAAACAAAUUUCUUGAAUUUUUGCCUAAAGGUUUAAUCAUUUCUAAAAUGGGAGAAACUCCUAAAAAUUAUAAGUGCUCUAUUGAGGAAUUGAGUGCCAAAGAUGGCACUACUUAGAUCUAUCUUCGCUUUUAUGCCUAGCUAGGGGCGUUAAACGAUAGCGCUAGUUGGGAGGCAACCCAAUUUUAUUUGUGUUUUUUGUUUUUGUUUCUGUUCAGUAAUAAAUUUUGCAUCUACCUUCUGUUUAGAUGUAUUUUUAUGUUUUAAUUAGUGUUUGUGCCAAGUAGAACCUAUAGGAUAACCUAUGAUGAUAGUUAAUUUGAUUCUGCUGAAAAACAGAAACUUUGCAUGCACGAAAUUAGUUUUGUUAAAUCACAGAAACGAGCUUUUGGGUUGAUUCUUCUUGCUGCUGAUCAAUACACAAAAUGUCCAGGACUUCCUAUUUUAGUAGGAUUUGUAGAGUUCUAUAAGUUUGCGUUAGUUACAGAUUGCUACAGACUAUUUUGGUUUUGACAGAUUCUGCUUUUCGUGUGUUGUUUGCUUAUUUUGAUGCAUCUAUGAUUAGUAAAAUAGUUUACAAACCAUAGAGAAGUUGGAAUACAGUAGGUUUAACACCAAAAUAAAUAAAGAAUGAGUUCAUUACAGUACCUUAUGUGGUGCUUUUGUUUUCUUUCACUAACAGAGCUUAUGAGAUUUCCUGUUGAGUUUUGUGUUGUGAAGUUUUCAAGUUUUGGGUAAAGAUUUGAUGGACUAUGGAAUAAGGAGUGGCAACAGCCUAAGCUUGGGGAUGCCCAUGGCACCCCAAGAUAUUCAAGAAUAGACAAAAGCCUAAGCUUGGGGAUGCCCCGGGAAGGCAUCCCCUCUUUCGUCUUCGUUCAUUGGUAACUUUACUUGUAGCUAUAUUUUUAUUCGCCACAUGAUAUGUGUUUUGCUUGGAGUGUCAUGUAUUAUAUUAGUCUUUGCUUUUUAGUUUACCACAAUCAUCCUUGCUGUACACACCUUUUGGGAGAAGCCUACUUGAUUGAAAUUUAUUAGAAUACUCUAUGUGCUUCACUUAUAUCUUUGAGCUUGAUAGUUUUUGCUGUAGUGCUUCACUUAUAUCUUUUAGUGCACGGCGGUGGAUUAAUUUUGUAGAAAUUGCUAGUCUCUCAUGCUUCACUUAUAUUAUUUUGAGAGUAUUUUAGAACAGCAUGGUAUUUGCUAUGGUUACAAAAUUGGUCCUAGAAUGGUAGGCAUCCAAGUUGGGUAUAAUAAAAACUAUCAUAGGAAGUGAAUUGGAUGCUAUGAUCAAUUUGAUACUUGAUAAUUGUUUUGAGAUAUGGACGUAGUGAUAUUAAAGUCAUGCUAGUUGGGUGAUUAUGAAUUUAAAGAAUGCUUGUGUUGAAGUUAGCAAGUCCCGUGACAUGCACGUAUGGUUAAAGUUGUGUAACAAAUUUGAAACAUGAAGUGUACCUGGCUUGUGCAUCCUUAUGAGUGGCGGUCGGGGACGAGCGAUGGUCUUUUCCUACCAAUCUAUCCCUCUAGGAGCAUGUGCAUAGUGCUUGGUUUUUGAUGACUUCUAAAUUUUUGCAAUAAGUAUAUGAGUUCUUUUGACUAAUGUUGAGUCCAUGGAUUAUGCGCACUUUUACCCUUCCAUCAUUGCUAGCGUCUUCGGUACCGUGCAUUGCCCUUUCUCACCUUGAGAGUUGGUGCAAACUUCGCCGGUGCAUCCAAACCCCGUGAUACGAUACGCUCUAUCACACGUAAACCUCCUUAUAUCCUACUCAAAAUAGCCACCAUACCUACCUAUUAUGGCAUUUCCAUAGCCAUUCCGAGAUACAUUGCCAUGCAACUUUUCACCGUUCCGUUCAUCAUCAUGACAUACAUUACUUUUGUCAUAUUGCCAUUGCAUGAUCAUGUAGUUGACAUCGUAUUUGUGGCAAAACCACCAUGCAUAAUUUUUCAUACAUGUCACUCUUGAUUCAUUGCACCAUCCCGGUACACCGCCGGAGGCAUUCAUAUAGAGUCAUAUCUUGUUCUAGUUUCGAGUUGUAAUUCAUAUGUUGUAAUCAAUAGAAGUGUGAUGAUCAUCAUUAUUAGAACAUUGUGCCCAAAGAAAAAACAAAGAAAAAAAAAA
RNAcentral lists this long non-coding RNA (4231 nucleotides) under Triticum aestivum (bread wheat). Its description in RNAcentral is "long non-coding RNA (TAES_LNC003160)". The record is from RNAcentral. Lineage: Eukaryota; Viridiplantae; Streptophyta; Magnoliopsida; Poales; Poaceae.